RNAcentral lists this non-coding RNA (24 nucleotides) under Rattus norvegicus (Norway rat). Lineage: Eukaryota; Metazoa; Chordata; Mammalia; Rodentia; Muridae. The record is from RNAcentral.
GUUUUUUCUUUUGCUAGGAGGUGU